This 1962-nucleotide ribosomal RNA is filed under the name Rickettsiales bacterium. RNAcentral's name for it is "partial 23S ribosomal RNA". It matches the Rfam family "Bacterial large subunit ribosomal RNA", at positions 1 to 2113 of the family's 2925-position model. Lineage: Bacteria; Pseudomonadati; Pseudomonadota; Alphaproteobacteria; Rickettsiales. The record is from RNAcentral.
AAGAAAUAAAGUAAGAGCAUUUGGUGGAUGCCUUGGUGUUGGUAGGCGAUGAAGGACGUGAAAGACUGCGAUAAGCUUCGGGGAAUUGUCAAUAGGUUUUGAUCCGAAGAUGUCCGAAUGGGGAAACCCACCCUUAGGGGUAUCUGUAGACGAAUAAAUAAAUUUACAGAGGCGAACUCAGCGAACUGAAAUAUCUCAGUAGCUGAAGGAAAGGAAAUCAAUAGAGACUCCCCUAGUAGCGCGAGCGAACGGGGACCAGGCCGGUGCCAUUGGUCUAAUAAUUAGAAUAGAUUGGAAAAUCUAGCCAUAGAAGGUGAUAGCCCUGUAUAGGUAAAAAUGACCGAUGGACUUGAGUAGAGCGGGACACGUGAAAUCCUGUUUGAAUAUGGGGGGACCAUCCUCCAAGCCUAAGUACUAACCAAUAACCGAUAGUGAACUAGUACUGUGAAGGAAAGGUAAAAAGAACCCUGACGAAGGGAGUGAAAUAGAACCUGAAACCGAAUGCUUACAAGCAGUCAGAGCGGACAGCCCCUUCUGGGGUCAUGCCGUGAUGGCGUACCUUUUGCAUAAUGGGUCAGCGAGUUAAUAUGCAGAGCAAGCUUAAGUCGAUAGACGGAGGCGCAGCGAAAGCGAGUCUGAAUAGGGCGAAUUAGUUCUGUGUAUUAGACCCGAAACCAGAUGAUCUAACCAUGGUCAGGCUGAAGGUGUAGUAAUGUACACUGGAGGGCCGAACCUGUUAACGUUGCAAUGUUAUAGGAUGAACUGUGGUUAGGGGUGAAAGGCUAAUCAAAUCUGGACAUAGCUGGUUCUUCGCGAAAACUAUUUAGGUAGUGCGUUGCGUGGUUGCCGACGGGGGUAGAGCACUGAAUAGGCUAGGGGGGUCAAAGCCCUGCCGAACCUAAUUAAACUCCGAAUACCGCCGAGCUGAGCGCAGCAGACAGACUACGGGUGAUAAGGUCCGUGGUCGAGAGGGAAAUAGCCCAGACCGCCAUCUAAGGUCCCUAAGUUAUCACUAAGUGUGGAAGGAAGUAAUGGAGCCAAAACAGCUAGGAGGUUGGCUUAGAAGCAGCCAUCCUUUAAAGAAAGCGUAAUAGCUCACUAGUCUAUAAGCUCUUUUGCGCCGAAAAUGUAACGGGGCUAAAGUGAUACACCGAAGAUGCGGACUUCCCAGAUUACUCUGGGGAGUGGUAGCGAAGCAUUCCAUAGGCCGUCGAAGGUGCAGCCGCGAGGCGCGCUGGAGGUAUUGGAAGAGAGAAUGCUGACAUGAGUAACGACAAAGAAUGUGAGAAACAUUCUCGCCGAAAGCCCAAGGUUUCCUAUCCAAUGUUAAUCAGGGUAGGGUUAGUCGGCCCCUAAGGCAAGACCGAAAGGUUUAGUCGAUGGGAAACAGGUUAAUAUUCCUGUACCUGAGGAAGAGUGACAAAGCAGAUGUUCUGUGGCCGUUUAUAGGAUUACGGAUGCAGGGCUGAUGUUUUCAGGAAAUAGCCUCCUCAACAUAGACCGUACCAAAACCGACACAGGUGGGCGGGUUGAAUAUACUAAGGCGCUUGAGAGAACUAUCUUGAAGGAACUAGGCAAUUUACACUUGUAACUUCGGGAAAAGAGUGGCCCACGUUAGGUAACUGGUAGUGGGUGGCACAUAAAUGGGGGGGGCGACUGUUUACCAAAAACACAGGGCCAUGCUAAAUCGGUAAGAUGAUGUAUAUGGUCUGACGCCUGCCCGGUGCUGGAAGGUUAAAUGAUCCGGUGCAAGCUGGUGAUUGAAGCCCCAGUAAACGGCGGCAGUAACUAUGACUGUCCUAAGGUAGCGAAAUUCCUUGUCGGGCAAGUUCCGACGCGCAUGAAUGGCGUAACGAUCUCCCCACUGUCUCCAAGAUAGACUCAGUGAAAUUGGAUUCGACGUGAAAAUACGUUGUACCUACGGUUAGACGGAGAGACCCCAUGCACCUUUACUAUAGCUUU